GCCAAUUUAGCUCAGUUGGUAGAGCAUCUCCCUCGUAAAGAGAAGGUCGUUGGUUCGAUUCCAACAAUUGGCA
Molecule: transfer RNA, 73 nt
Filed under: Lactobacillus delbrueckii
Lineage: Bacteria; Bacillati; Bacillota; Bacilli; Lactobacillales; Lactobacillaceae
Also listed under: 7 other names
Description: tRNA-Thr
Rfam family: tRNA
About the family: Transfer RNA (tRNA) molecules are approximately 80 nucleotides in length. Their secondary structure includes four short double-helical elements and three loops (D, anti-codon, and T loops).
Source: RNAcentral